ACCAUCUACAUUAAAAGUUUUUCACACUAUCAUAAAAUUUUUGAAAAAUAUCCCCAAAACAUCUAAUCCAUACAUAUAUUUCCAUUGCAUGGGCUCAUUUUUUUCUGGGCUUAACGAGGGUUGGAUCACUCUCUGUCCAACUUUAUUAGUAGGGGAAUCAGGUCCAGUCCGCUUUUAUUGGCCACUUUAUUUUGGUGGGAGUGGGGGACGGCAACCGGAAUAAUAAUGACACGGUCUUCCUGGUGCGGGCUGCAAGCAAUGCGCGUAACUCCGACUGCUGCACAUUGGACGCCUUGGCAAUGGCACAUGACCUAUGGAUCCACCGCCUCCAUCUUUAGGAGCAGAGUUUGCAGGAAAAAAACUUAGGAGAGAAUAAAACUUUUAUUAAAACAAUUUAGGGAAGAAGAAACUCUCACUAGGAGAUUUUAUUAGAGAAGAAUCUAUCAUUAGAAAAUUCUACAAAAGAAUUUAUUGCUACAAUAGAAACUAAAAAAAUUAAAGAGAGGACUCCCUUUUAUGGAAAAAGACCAAAUUUGUCUGAUCUCUCUUCCAUGAAAAAGGCAGAGAAGAUUUAGAGAGAACGAGGAAAAUAGUUCAAUUUCCUUCUACUCUAAUUCCCAAAUCAACAACUUUCAUGCAUCAAUGACUUGUACUAUUAUCAUCAUAGUUUAUGGGAAGUGUAUCCAAUUUAGAUGAAUGUUUUCGAUUAAAGCAAACUCACUGCUGAGCAAUUUUUUUUUAAAAAAACUGUCAAUAAGAAAGAUGUAUACUUACCGCUGCCGCCAAGUGUCCGUCCAGAGACAGCGGGUUGGACUAAAAUGAUGGAAAUUAUCAAAAGCCAGAAGAAGAUGAAAGGUCUUGCUCGUCAUUUAUAUGUUUAUUUCUAUGUGGCUGUCUCAAAACUUGUACAAGCUCUAGUGUUAUGUUACAUAUAUGAUUGAGAUUCGGAGAAAGACUUGAAAGGAUAAGGCUACGUGAACCUUAUGACAAAGUCUUGUGUAGCUGCUGUUUUAUUUGACCCCAUAUAUCACAAAUGAAAUUAGACUUUAAAGACUUGCUUACUCAAUCAACCUCAAUUCACUCAAAUGUUGAAAUCAAUGUUCCAUAAACAUCCAAUGAGAAAUUUAGGGGUAAUUGACAUCAAAGUUUUCGAAACAAAACAUUACAAAACAAGUUUGACCAUUCGGCUAAGAGAAAAAGAAAAGUUUUCCAAAUUUGAAAAGCAAAUUUUAGGACAUCAUUUGGGUAUCGAAAGGUUGUUGAAAUAACACCAAAUUUUGUACACUUAAACCUCUAUAUGUGGACGACCCCUGUAUCAAACUUCACGCAAAAAAUUACGUGGAAGGCAGUUAACAAAACGACUGAAUUUCGUAAAAUGUUUCAAAGCAAAUCUGUCUUCUUGCUUACCUUUCUUUUCAAAACAUUUUGCACCAUGAAAUCAGUCUCAUUUUGGUUCAUUUUUGAAACCAAGGUCCAAGAAACAUUUAACAAGUAAUUGGUAGUCAAUUGACAUCAAAAUUUACAAAGCAAAGCAUCCCUCAAUUAGCCUAACCAUUCGGCCAACACAAGAAUGGGGUUUCCAGCUCUGCUGCAGUUUACAAAUUGUACCAUAUCUCACUCAAUACAACUUGGAAUUGAGAAUGGUCAGUGGCGUUGGAAACUAGGUUCAAUAUACUUCAUUUCAUCAGAAGAAAACAUUUCGAAAAUCAGUUCACAAGUAGUUUGAAUUCAAGCCAAAAGUUAUAGCUUCUCAUGUCCAUUCGAAUGGGACUGGCAGAACAGAACAGCUGACUUUAUCAGUUCACUGCAGUUCACACAAAACGAACUAGACAAUGAUUUUUAUACCGUUUUAAACCUAAGAAUGUCUAGUUUCAAAUUUCGCAAAUGGCACUCGAUUUCGACUUUUGUACAAAAAGUUAUGUUCAACCAAAGAUACACUAUUCAGGCCUUCGGAUGACCAUUUCCAGAUUUCUUGCAGUUUCGAAAAUUCUAGUUUUGAUUAACCAAAUGACAUGAUUUUCGGACAACACUUUGUACACACAAUAUACCACAUAUAACCAUCAAUUUCACAGCAAAAUAAGUACCAAAAAUUCGAAAUGAAAACAAAGCAACAAUGGACAGAAUUUCGGCCAUCUUGUUUCUCACGGUUUGCCAACAUAUCAUAUCUACUAUCCAGAUAAAUCAUUGUAACCCAAUAGAUUUAUGCAUUUUUCCUACAGUCAAAGAUAUGAUUAAAAACUGGUUCAACUUCAAAGAGAAGUUUAGAUCCAAUAAUAAUAAAUGGAAAAAUUGCAAAUUUUAGAAACUAGAUCUACAAAAUCUCAAAUUUCACAGAAAAUGACAAAAACUGAAAAAAAAAACCUCAUAAGGAAAAAAACUUAGGAGAGAAUAAAACUUUUAUUAAAACAAUUUAGGGAAGAAGAAACUCUCACUAGGAGAUUUUAUGAGAGAAGAAUCUAUCAUUAGAAAAUUCUACAAAAGAAACUAAAAAAAUUAAAGAGAGGACUCCCUUUUAUGGAAAAAGACCAAAUUUGUCUGAUCUCUCUUCCAUGAAAAAGGCAGAGAAGAUUUUGAUUAGAGAAGUUUUAGAGAGAACAAGGAAAAUAGUUCAAUUUCCUUCAACUCUAAUUCCCAAAUCAACAACUUUCAUGCAUCAAUGACUUGUACUAUCAUCAUCAUAGUUUAUGGGAAGUGUAUCCAAUUUAGAUGAAUGUUUUCGAUUAAAGCAAACUCACUGCUGAGCAAUUUCAAAAAAAACUGUCAAUAAGAAAGAUGUAUACUUACCGCUGCCGCCAAGUGUCCGUCCAGAGAGAGCGGGUUGGACUAAAAUGAUGGAAAUUAUCAAAAGCCAGAAGAAGAUGAACAUAGGAGAAGCAAAAGUCUUGCUCGUCAUUGUUUAUUUCUAUGUGGCUGUCUCAAAACUUGUACAAGCUCUAGUGUUACAUAUAUGAUUGAGAUUCGGAGAAAGAUUUGAAAGGAUAAGGCUACGUGAACCUUGUGAAAAAGUCUUGUGUAGCUGCUGUUUUAUUUGACCCCAUAUAUCAGAAAUGAAAUUAGACUUUAAAGACUUGCAUGGGUCUUCUACUCUUUUCUGUGGCGUCCUUCUGUCACACCAUAUUAGACGCCUGUGGACUAGAAGUCCUAAUUCCUUAUUCUGGAGUCUUGUGCUUGAAAGAGACUUGAGUGAAAAUUUUUGAGGUAAGCUCAAUUCGUCAUGAAAUAAAAAUUGUUGUCACUUCUCUUAUAAACUUUGCAAGUGUCAAGUGUAAUCUAAGAGGACGAGUGAAUUAAGUUGUAUAAAAACUAGAUAAGUUAUGGCAGAUUUUAUCUAAUUUUAACUAACCAAAUUUAUCUAAAUGAUCACAAACUAAAGCGACUAAGUAGAAAACAAUAAAGAUGAGGCAAGUAUAGCACCUAAAUGAGCAAACAAUGAGCAAUAUAUUAAAAUAAAGUAAACCAAAUGAAAUUGAUACAAGCUUCUCCAAGAUUGAAGUUGAUCCAUUAAAAAAGUUCUUCAAAAUUGGUGAAACAAUAUGCCACUUUGUACAAAUAAAUGAUUACCUUUACUCGCAUUAAUUUCUCCUUAGUUGAGUCAAAAGUUUUACACUUCCUAUAUAUCUAACCUUUCCAAGGUAAAAUUGAAUUGCUCACAAUUACAAUGAAGAAUUUUACAAGCUUUUCAACCUCAUAAAAAACUACAAGUGAACAAGAAAGAGUAUUUUUUUUUACCAAAAUUACUCUAGAGAGCUUAUAAUUGAUAUAGACAAAAUUUCUGAAUAAGUUUAGACUUUAUGGUAUUUAUAGGACCCCAAAAAUUGGUCCAAAAUGCCCUCUAAUAAUCAAGCAUUUAAUGCAGGAAAAACUAGCUGUUGAAACUAUCACAUUUCUGUUCGUUAUGCUAGCGUUCGAUACAAUCGUUCAAUCAAGGAUGAGAAGCUUUGUUGUGUAGAUGUUCGGAUGGCCAAUGCAAGUUCUCCUUUGUCCAAGAGUCCAUCUGACGGAUGACCAGAGUAUAGCCCUUUGUCCGAGAGAUUCGUUCAAUCAAUAUUGAUAUUUGCUCUUCCAUGUUUGGACAGCCGAUCCUUGUUUCUUGUGUUCAAAAGUGUGUCCGAAGAUGGAUGUAGUUCCUUGAAAGGUUGCUUUGUACGUCCAAUCCUCGAAGGUCUGUUUGAAGCUGCGUCCAACAGAUUGCGACACCGUUCCUUUAUUCUUGCUUUUGUUUUGUUUUCUUUUCUUUUUUCCCUAGUGAUUGAGCACCUGUUCUAUCAGAAUUCUCAUUGGAAAAUAUUAGUUCAAAUCAUCAUUUUGACUUGUUAAUCAUCGUAACAAAGGAUUGAGGGACUGAAGUCUUCAAAGUUAUUGGGGAUUUUGUAUUCUUAAUUUCUUAGUAGACAUAUAUUUGGCUAUUCGAUGUAAACCCAUUGGGUUGAAAAAUAAGAUGUGCUCCAGCAUCCCGUAUUUGUUCAUGGUAAUUAGGAGUUGUGGGAUCAUACCGGUGAUGGUAUUGAGGUAUAAGACGUAUUAAAUAUCUUUUACUUAUUGUUUUAGACGUUUUAUCUACUGUAAUUCCUCAGUUGAUAAAACUUGAACAUUUCACUUAAAAAGACGCUUGGCUUCAAUUCACUAGCACAAAUUUUGGCCUAAUUUCCAAGGAUGAUAUACCUCCGAAAUGGAUAAAUUAAGCGGUCCAUUUAGUGAAAAACUCGUACGACUUUCAUGACGUUCGUGGAUGGCUAACCUUUCUAAAUCCAAAUCUAGCGCUUUCAACUAAAUGAAACUUGUGCGGUCUCUGCCAAAAUGAAGGUACCAAUAAUCUUUAAAGUGAGGCUGGGAUCAUUUUAUUUUUCAUUGGUUACUUAAAAAAAAAAAGAAUUAAAGUUUGAAGUUUCGACUAGAGGAUGGUUGUCCACUUUCCACUGCUAGUUUGUUUUAGACGUUUUAUCUACUGUAAUUCCUCAGUUGAUAAAACUUGGAUAUUUCACUUAAAAAGACGCUUGGAUUCAAUUCGCUAGCACAAAUUUUGGCAUAAUUUCCAAGGAAAGAACUAAUCAAGUGUAAAGUUAUAAGCUAAACAACAUGAUUAGAGGUUGGCUCUGAUACCACAUAUAAAACUAAUUAUUUACACAUGAAUGUACUAGGCAGCAGAAAUCUAAAUAACCUUACCUCCAACGAUUGUCAUCAAGUACAAAUUAAUCCCGUAUGCCUCCUUUUCUCCUUGCCUCCUUAUCUAUUUUAACAACAUAAAAUAUGUAAAGAAGAAUUUGGAAUGAAGGAACUUCUAACCUAUGUCUAAUCAAAGAGACUGUAUUGUAGAUGGAAUAUCACGGGCUUUUUUUAGGUUAGGUUAGGAACCCUUAUUGGUAAAUAUCAAAUCCUUGGGGUUUCCUUCUAUCAAGGAAAUGUUACUAUAAAUCAUAAUUUUAGAAUAAUAUAUAUGACUAAUUGAUGGAUUUGAUUAAUUGCAAUAUUAAUUAACAUAAGAUAUUAAUCAAUCAUCUUAUAUUACUAAUCCCUUACAAGAAAAAUGAAACAACGAGGCUACUGAUUCUUCAAACUAAAACGAAUGUAGAGGUAACAAUACUAACCCCUUACUGGCUGACUUAAGUUACUAACAUUAUGGGCCGAAUCCAAUGUGGCCAACCUCACUAAUUCACAAUGCAACUUAUUAUACUAACCAAUAUAUUAAUGAUGCAUGGCCUCAACUAACAUAUAACCAAAUAAACAAAUUACUAAGUUUGGUUUAUAUUAUCCCACAAUGCCUCCCUUAAACCAAACUCCUAUAAUCUUGAUAUAUCCAACAUCUUCGUCAACUUGACAAAAGUCUCCAUCUUCAACGCCUUGGUGAAAAUGUCAGCCAUUUGCUCUUUAGUUCUGCAAUAAUCAACUUGAAGCUCCUUUCGAACCAACUCACGCGUGAUGUGAUAUUUGAUAUCUAAGUGUUUACUGUGCUCACGGAGAACCGAAUUCUUAGACAAUUCAACAGCCAACUUACUAUCACAAUAAAUGUUCGUAGGACCAAUUUGCUUUUGCUGUAGAAUGCUAACUAUGCGAUGUAACCAUAAAACUUGAGUUGCACUAUUAGCUACUGCAAUAUACUCCGCCUCUGUAGCAGACAAUGCAAUUAUCUGUUGUUUCUUAGAACUCCAAGAAAACACUCUUGAGUCAAUAAAAAUGCAUGCCCUGAAGUACUCUUCCUCUCAACUGUAUCACCUACCUAAUUACUAUCUGUAUAGCCAAACAACUCAAUUGGAUCAUUUCCUGAAUAAAAAUACUAUCACUCUGAGUGCCUUCAAUUCACCCCAAAAUCCUCUUAGCCGCCUGCAAAUAUGAUUGACUUGGAUAUUCCAUGAAUUUGCUAAUUAAUCAACCCAACAACAAAAUUGGUCUUUGGUCUCGUAGAUGUCAGAUACCUCAAACUCCCUACCAAACUUUUAAAGUAGGUAGGAUUCACAUAUCCACCAACAUUCUUCUUGGUCAAGCUCAUGGAGUUAGAAUUGGCUUAACUGCAUCCAACUUGAACUUCUUUAUGAUAUCACUUGCAUAUUUCUUUUGAGAAAUAAAAAUCCCACUAUUAGACUUAAAAACUUCAAUUCCCAAGAAAUAUGACAUAAGUCCCAUGUAUGUCAUUUCAAAUUGCUUAAUCAUAGACGUCCUGAACUGUGCAAUCGUUUUCAAAUUAUUUUUUGUAAAAUCAUAGCAUUUACAUAUAUGCACAUAAUAAGAAUAUCACACCGCAGAAGAUUGAAAAUAUAAAAUGUGCUCAUAUAGACAUUUCUGAAAAUCACGAGCAAGAAAAUAAGAGUCAAUCCUCGUAUACCACUGGAUUUAAACUUUGUCUUGUACACCGACUUCACUCUAAUGAUUUUUUUACCAGUUGAAAGAAAAGUAAGUUUUCAAGUAUCAUUCUUCUUAAUUACAUGAAUUUCUUUCUCCAUUGCUUUCAUCCAACGAUCAUCAUGGGCUACCUCCUCAUACAUCAUAGGAUCACAAUUUGCAAACAAAGCAAAAUUAACUAUAUUUUCAUCGGAAGGAAUAUCAUCUGGUAUAAUCACAUAAUCUUGCAAAUGAGCUGGCAUCUGUAGCUGACGCUGUGGACGUCCAAUUAACUCAAUCUUUGGACCCUGAGCAACUGGUAAUGGCUGAAUAUCAUUAUUAACCUCCUCUUAUUGAUAAUUUACUGUUACCGUGACGCCCCCACUUCUGCCAAGGGCGAACCCAUGGGAAUCAGUGGAACGCCUGCCUAGCUCUUGGCAAGACUCAAUACGAAUCCAAUUCAAAUUUAAGGAUAACAACCAAAGAAUAAAAGUCGAAAUAAAGAAAAGUCACUUCCUUAAAUAAACUUUCAAGUUUUACAACACAAGUUCUCAAAAGUACAACAGCUUUCCCAAAAUAUAACCAUUAUCAGUCGACUAGUCAAUUACACCCCAAGAUUUUUAAUCAAAAUAGUCAAGUCGACUUCCUCAAAAAUUCUUUCCAAUCCGAACUCCUGUUAAGGAAAACAAAACUAAUGGGAUGAGCGAUUUCGCUCAGUGAGACCAAGAAAACAUGCAAACACAUAGUUCCAAUAACAAUAACACUUACACGGAAAGUAAAUCAAUAAAGUUCAAGUAAUUCAUAAUUUAAUAAUAAACACACUUAAUAAGGAUACAGGAGCUCUCAGGAGCUAUAUUCCACUUGCUUUGCCGAUGCUCGAUCUAAUACCUCCACGUGAUGACACUCCGUCAACCGGGUAGGUAUUAAGUCCGUAGAACUCCGCUUAUUUUGUACGCCCGUUCACCUUUACACCCCCUGCUCAGGGCCCGCACUUCUUUUAUAUAAGGCAAUACUACUAGAGUAUGCCAAGCAAGAUCUCUCAAAUAAAUCAAGCUUAUGAUUUUUUUCUCAUGGCUCACCAAGCUUCACAACCAAGCCCAUGCCGGCUCGAGUCGUAAGGUCGGCCAAUGAGUUUGGGGGUCCCCCACUAUUAUAAUAUAAGUCGAUGAGAUUCACUCCAAUCGACAUAUGCAAACAUAGCAUAAUUCACUAUUGUAACACUUCAUUUACUUCACUUAGCAAAUUCACUUCAUAUAAUUCAAAUAUAAUUCACUUAAAAGAGAAUGAGUGCGAUAAAGUACACACUCGUCUCGAUAAUUCCAAAAUACUCAAUUAAUGAGAAACAAUUUAUGCACUUAGCAACACUUUAUACUUGACACUCACCAAUUCAAAACAAAUGAGUAAAGAAAGUCUUUAGUGAUCUGCUCCGAGAUUCUCCUCAAGACCCUCUUGAUCGCCUGAAGAAAAAUGACCAAUAAUCAUUCUCAUACAUUCAUAAUCCCUUAUCAAACAAGGAAGAAUGUACACUUGCUUAAAAUUAAGAUAACGUCGUAAAAGAGCUUCACUCUACUAAAAUUCAAGAUUCAACUCUUAAGAAAUCAGAAAAUUUCAGCUUUGCGCGACAAAACUUAGAAAAUUAGAUCUCUUGUUUGGUAUGUCCAAAAAUAGAAAACUUUAUACCGUUGGAAACUAGAUCCAAAGUACUAAAAGUUCCCAGAAGAAACUUUUCCAAGAUUCCAAACAGAAAGCAUUCAUUUUUCAGCUCAAAUUUUCUGAUUCAUAAAGACAAGACAGAACCAGUCUUGGUUUUCAGUGGUGUUUGGAAAUUCGGCAAAAUUCACAGAAAGUGAAUUAGCCUCUGAAAUUUGUGACACAAUAAGAGUCCCAUACAAAGUUUCAAAACAAGCAGAACUAAAUUCGGAGUUUUGAGUAACAAGAUAUAGCAGUUUGAAGUAGGUUGGUUUUUGUAAUCUGAUCAGUGAAUUUCCAGAUUUGAAGAGAAAUCUUUGAGGCAUUAUUUGAGCAUCGAAAUGGUAUUGGAAUUACACCAAAUUUGGCACACUUGAACUUCCAUACAUGGACUGCUUCUCUAAAAAAAUUUAGGCAAAAACUCACAUGGGAAGGCAGUUUACGAAAUGACCAAAAUUUGUGAAUUAUUUCAAGGCUAAUCUGCCAUCCCACUUCUCUUUGCUUUUCAAAAGUUUGGUCCAAUGAAAUCAGUCCCAAUUCACUCCAUUUUUGACACCAAGAUUCCAAAAACAUUUAAUAAGCAAUUGACAAGCAAUUGACACUAAAAUUUUUGAAGUAUAACAUCCCAAAACAGAUUUGACCAUUCAGCCAACAAGGAAGAGAAAAUUUUCCAGUUUCCAGCUUUGUCACAUUUUUGAAAUCAAACUAUAUCUAGCUCUAUACAACUCCAAAUUGGGAAUGGUUUAUGGUGUUGGAAACUAGAUUCAAAAUUCUACAAUUCAUCAGAAGGCAUCGUUUUGAAAAUCUUUUCACAAGUAGAACAAAAUAGAGUUACAAGGUGCAGCUUCCCAGUUUCAUUCGAAUAAACAGCCAAAACAGAACAGCCGACUUUGCCGACUCGCUACGGUUCACUCAAAAUGAACCAGCAGGGAAUUUUUAUACCGUUGAAAAGCUAUAAAUGUCUAGUUUUGAAUGCUGCUAACGGGACUCAAUUUUGACUUUUGUACAGAGAGUUACGUUCAGUCAAAGAAGCACUGUCUGAGUACCCCUGCUAGGCGUUUUCCAGAUUUGAAACUUUUCCAAAACUGAAGUUUUGUGCAACCAUUCUACACGAUUUUUGAAAGGUACUUUGUACACACAAUAUACAACAUAUAUCCAUCAAUUUAACAGUCAACUAAGCAUCAAAAUUUCGAAACUAAAACAGAACAACAUGACCAGAAUUUCGGCCAGCUUCCUUUCGCAAUUUCCUCCAACUUUUUCUCCACUUUCUAACCGUAAUCAAGCUAUAUAUCACAUAAACAACCACAAUCAAACAAUCAAGCCUCAAGUCAAGUACCUAGAGUCCUCAUCAGGAUAGCUAGCCUAUGAUUUAAAGUGGAAAUAAUAGGUUCCUCAAGUCCGCUAGCCUAUGAGUGCAAUUAGGGUUUCAAACCCAUGAAGAUUAUCCGUUAAACUUCUUAUAAUUUGAAAGAGAAAAGAGGUGGAAUGGUUACCCUUUAAACCCUUGAAGAAAAUCAGAUUUUCCACCAAAAUUUCAUUCAAGAAAUUCCACAAGAUUGCUUCUUACUCCAAGCUAGAAUGAAUCUCCAAGAAACUAGAAAGUUGGAUGAUGAUUUGUAGACAAAAUGGAAGCUAAAGGAAAUGGAGAUUUUCUUUCCUUUCUUUCUUGGUUGGUCGGCUGAAUGGAGAGGAGAAAGAUGAGGGUUUGAGUGUUUAGCUUGUGAGGAAAGAAUGAAGGAAAGUUGCUUUAAGUUGGGUGCAAAAAGUCAACUUUGAAUAGUUGUCGAAAUAGUGUCGUGCACUACAGAUUCCUCUCUUGUUUGGUACACUUAUGCACUAAUCCUCCAAUAACAUUGUAAUUACUCACACUUACAAGUCUAGUAUUAAUUCCUCAAGUUUCUAAUUAGUCGGGCGAUAUGAUUUUAGAGAAAUUUGUGACGCGCGCGCGAUAAGGCGAAAAUUUAAAAUAAAUUCAUGCAACUAAAAUAUAAUGUAAUCCCCGAUGCAACCCAAUGAGUACAAACAAUUUCACAAUGAUGCACAAAGAUAUAUCAAAUUUAAGCACAAUAAAGAAAACUUAAUUAAAGAGAAAAGAUAAGAAAUGCAAACCAAAUAUCAAUCCAAUAGCCUCUUCAAUAGAUGGCGAUGCUAACCAAGAUGUACAUGUGAAGGCUCACUCCUUCCUCACCCCAAACACACUUUGGUUGAGCCAAGGAGUUUUACAACUAUUCUAGUUAACCCUCAACAACCUACACUUGAAAGAUCACUCACCCAAAUAAGAACUAUUUUAUACAAAUGAGGCAACCUUCACCAAGGUUUUACCACUCCAAGUGAUAAGUUCACCUUCACCAAGGUUUUACUCCUCCUAGAGAGUAACCUUCACUUGAGCAACCUCACAACCCAACUUCCCCAACCCCUUAUACAACCAACAAAGAAUCUUUCUACUAAAAAACCUCACUUGUAAGCUUGUAUUUUGUGUUGGCAAAAGUCUCUUGUCUUCUUGUGCUUUGGGGUAUUUAUAGAAGGUGAGAAAUGGCUUCAAAAGGCUCUCUAAUGGUCAAAUAUUAAAUGCUGUCAAAACUAGCCGUUGGCCUGUCGGACGUCCGAACCACCUGUCGAACGUCCGAACCCUGCGUCCAAACCACCUGUCGGACGUCCGAACCCUGCGUCCGAACGUUGACAGAGAGUCAUCAAAUCUUUGCGAAAUUUCUCGGACGUCCGAUGCGAUCGAUGUGCGUCCGAGGCGUGGGUCCGAUGCUUCCGGACGUCCGAUGCUUCCUCACGAGCGUCCGACAGAGUUUCCUUUUUGAUGUUCUUCAUCCUUUCGGACGUCCGAUAGCUUCCUUUCGGACGUCCCACAUGAGUGCCCUGUUUUUGCUUUUUCUAACAAAUUGCUCACAUAAAAACAUUAGCCCAAAUCUACAUUUUGGUUUGUUAAUCAUCAAAACCAAGGAUUGAUCGACCAAGGUCAACAAUCUCCCCCUUUUUGAUGAUGACAAACAAAAUGAAGAUUUCUUUUAUCAAAUAAGUUCAAAUAAAGCUCCCCCUUAGAAAGUGCCAACAUACAAAGAAAUUUCAAUAAAUCCUACUCCCCCUUUUGGCAUCAAUCAAAAACAAACUCCCCCUUUAUUUUUCAAAUCAAGACCAUAUUGAAUAUCAAAAUUUUCAAUUGUACUUACAACCAUAUAGCACUUCUUGGAUCAAAUCUUCAUGAUGUACCUAAAUAUGAGAAAUUUCAUUUGGUACCCUUUCUUUAUAGGGUCCUUGGGAGUUAAUACAACAUGAUCUAGCAAUCCACAUGGAUUUCAUACCUUUUCUCAUAUUUUUCUUUACAUAGCAAUCAUUUUGCAUAUGUCCAAAUUUGCAACAAAAGUGACACAUGAUAGAAGUAUUUUGCACAUAGGUGGAUUUAAUGCAACUAAUUUUCUUACUUCUUAUCAUAGCAAACUUAUUUGUGCCUUGAAAAGAUUUGCUUUCUUUUGUUUGAGAAAACUUUUGUUUUUCAUUUUGGAGAAACUCGUUCAAGUCAUUAAUUCUUUUCUUUAACAAAUUCUGUUCCUCCAACAUUUUUUCAUAAAACUUUGUUUUCUCUUCCAACUUCCUUUUCAAAACAUUUUUUUGAUUUUUUAAAUCAUCAUUUUCCAUUCUCAAACAUUUGUUUUCUUGAAAAAGUUUGGAGUUUUCUUCCAACAAAUCAUUUAUUUUUGUUUUCAAAUCUUUAUUUUUAGCAUAAGAUUUUCUCAAACUUUUAUGCAUUUUAAUCAUAAGAAUUUUCACAUCAUCAUCUUCAUUAUCUUCAUCACAAGAAGAGUGAUAAGAACUUACCUCAUCUUCUCCAACGGCCAUUAGUGCCAUUUGGGCCAACUCUUCUUUUUCUCUUUUUGAAUUGCAUUCAUCCCAUGUAAUUUUGCAAUCUCCUCUUGAACAUCUCUUGUUGAAGAUCUUCUUGAAACUUUUGAUGUGAGGAGUUAUAUCAUUGUCCACUUCCAUGAUUUCAUUACCCAUGAAGGAUGGGUUAUCCCCCACUUGAGAUGCUUUAAAAGCUAUGCCUCUCUUAUACAUUCUUGCAUUUUCUUCCUCUUGCACUUUGAAUUUCAGCUUUAAUUCAUAAGAGGUUAGGGUAUCCACAAGAGAUUCAAUGGACAUAGAAUUUAAAUCCUUUGCCUCUUCUAUAGCAUUUAUUUUGUUUUCCCAUUCUUUUGGCAAGGCAUUCAAAAUCUUUCUAUUUUUCUCACCCAAAGAAUAUUCUUUUCCAAGCAAUUUAAGAUCUUGAAUAAUGUCACAAAAUCUACUACACAUCUUAUCAACAUUUUCAAGAGGAUGCAUUUUGAAAAAUUCAUAUUGAGAAACAAGCAAAGAUUUCUUUUGUUCUUUAAUAUCUUGGUUACCUUCAUGAAAUACACACAAUUUAUCCCAAAUAUCUUUAGCUGAUUUACAACCUUUAAUCCUACUAGAUUCAUUUACAUCUAAUGCAUUGUACAAUAUACACAUGGCCUUGGCAUUCAAAGAAAGGUAUUUCUUGUCUUUUUCAUUCAAUUCUUGUCUAGUCUUUAAUCUACUCAAAUUAGUGAUAGAGUCAAUUAUUCUGGCUUCAUAAGGACCAUCUUCUACCACAUACCAUAAUUCAAUAUAAACGGAUUGUAAGAAAAUCAUCAUUCUUUGUUUCCACAUGCUAAAAUAAGAACCAUUAAACAUAGGUGGUCUAUCAAUAGAUUGCCCUUCUAAAAAAGAAACUUUUAUGGUUGCCAUGAUCUUUACUCUAAGCGGUUAAGCUUGAUCAAAAGAGACCAAGCUCUGAUACCAAUUGUAAGUCCCAAAGACUCUUGUAAGCUUGUAAGCUUGUAUUUUGUGUUGGCAAAAGUCUCUUGUCUUCUUGUGCUUUGGGGUAUUUAUAGAAGGUGAGAAAUGGCUUCAAAAGGCUCUCUAACGGUCAAAUAUUAAAUGCUGUCAAAACUAGCCGUUGGCCUGUCGGACGUCCGAACCACCUGUCGAACGUCCGAAUCCUGCGUCCAAACCACCUGUCGGACGUCCGAACCCUGCGUCCGAACGUUGACAGAAAGUCAUCAAAUCUUUGCGAAAUUUCUCGGACGUCCGAUGCGAUCGAUGUGCGUCCGAGGCGUGCGUCCGAUGCUUCCGGAUGUCCGAUGCUUCCUCACGAGCGUCCGACAGAGUUUCCUUCUUGAUGUUCUUCAUCCUUUCGGACGUCCGAUAGCUUCCUUUCGGACGUCCCACAUAAGUGCCCUGCUUUUGCUUCUUCUAACAAAUUGCUCAUAUAAAAACAUUAGCCCAAAUCUACAUUUUGGUUUGUUAAUCAUCAAAACCAAGGAUUGAUCGACCAAGGUCAACAUAUAAUUAACUAACACUAGAGCAAAUAAUUAUAAAAUGACUAAAUUGAGAAAUAAAAUAUGAGUCUUCACAGUUACCUCUGCUAUAUUAGAAUUUUCAGUAGACCAGUCCCAAACACCUCUUUCAUCAAAGGCCACAUCUUUACUCACCAUCACUUUUUUUGUCACAAGAUUAUAUAACCUAUAAGCUUAGAAAACUUCACUGUAGCCAAUAAAUACACAUUUCUUCCCCUUAUCAUCAAGUUUUUUCCUUAAUUGAUCAUGAACAAGGGAAUAGAUAAUACACCCAAAAACUUUGAGAUGGCCAACAAAAGGUCUUCUACCAUUCCAUACUUCUUCAGGAGUUCUUUUGAGAACACUUCUGAAAGUUCACAUGUUCAACAAAUAAAUUGUACCAAAAAUUGCCUCUACCCAAAAAGAGUUUGGCAUAUUUUUCAGUUUCAACAUAGAUUUUACCAUAUUUAUAACAGUUCUAUUCUUCCUCUUUGUCACUCCAUUUGUUGUGAAGUGUACCUAAUAGUCAACUGAUGCUAUAUUCCAUUUUUCUCAAGAAAAUCAUCACACACCAAAUAUUCUUGAUCCCUAUCAGUUCUCAAAAUUUUAAUCUAAUAGCCACUUUGCUUCUCAACAAAAGUCUUAAAAAUUUUAAAAGUGUCAUAGGCAUCAGAUUUUUGUUUCAAAAAAUACAUCCGGGCUUUUCUACUGAAAUCAUUAAUAAAGGUAAUAAAAUACCUACAAUCACCAUUAGAAGGAACUUUCACAGUGCACAAAUACGAAUGAAUAAUUUUCAUUGGUCUUCUAACCCUUCAGGAUUUGCCUGUUUGAAAGACAACCCUGUGUUGUUUUUUCAAAACACACAGAUUACAAACUUUACCAGAAUUUCUAAUACUAGGUUGCCUACUAAUCAUUUUUCUAUUAGCCAAAAAUCUCAAACCGUCAAAGCCAAUUAUUGUCAUCUAUCAUCAUACUUAAACAAGAAAAAUUGGUAGUACUCAAUUUCAGUGAAAAUAAGCGAUUUGAACUGGCAAUCAUUUUAAUAUUUUUUUUAUUAAAAAUGGUGUAAUUACCAUUCCUAAUGCGAAUAUCAUAUUUUUUUUCUUAGACAAUUGAUCCAUGCUCAACAAAUUAUGAUGCAGCUCAUGAACAUAGAAAACAUCAGAAAUAAAAUUAGUAGACCCAUUUUUUAAACUGAUAGGAAUUUUUUCUCUGACAAACACUAGUAAAAUAAUGUUAUUUCCAAAUUUAAUUUCACCAUCGACAGAUUCGUCAAUCUCAAAAAAUAAUUCUUUCUUGCCAGAUAUAUGAUUGUUGUAACCCAUAUUUAAAUACCAUUUUUUUUAUCAACCACAUCAACAAUAUUACAAGUUAAUAAUAAAAUUUUAGAUUUUUUAUUAUUAUCCUGAACCUGAUUGUCAGUAACAUUAAUCUAAAAAUUUCUGUCUAUAAUUUUUCAAAAUUUGUAUUUAAACUGUCUAUGGCUCAAUUUUUCACAAUUAUAACAUUAAAUUCUCUGUCCAAAAUUAUUUUAAAAUUAUAUUGAUUAAAAUUAUUUUCUUUGCCAAAAUUACCACCUCUGCCUCUACCAUGACUACCUUUAAAAUUAAAAUUAUUACCUCUAUCGCGUCCAAGAUUUGAUGUACCUCCUCUGCCUCUAUUAUUGUUGCCACGACCACCUCUGAUAUUUUAGCCACCUCUAUUAUUGUAGCUUGGAUUCAUCUGACUGAAUUCACUUUGCUCAUUUGCUUCAUUAUUACCUCUCAAAUGCAACUGCAUUUGUAAUACCUUCUCUAUUAUAUCCUUCUCCAGGGUAUUUUCCAACUUUUUAUUCAUUCUUUGCUCAUAUAGAAUUAAUGAUUCCUGCAAUUCUUCAAUACUUAAAAUUUUCCUAAUCUUUAUCUCCUGAAUCACAGCUACUAUAUGAUUAAAAAUCACAGCUACUAUAUGAUUAAAAUUCAUGGAUAGGGUGUUGAGAACUUUCACAAUAAAUGUUCUGGCAAGAACGUCAUACUGAUUAGGUGCGAUCUUGUUUUUAAUAUCUGACAAACGAGAAAAAUAUGAUUCAAUAGACAAGUUUAAAUUUCCUUUUUAAUAUCAUCAAAUUAUUUUGUUGGAUCCUGUUAAUCCUUUUGUAUGUCUUUUCCAAUAUAUCCCAACGCUCCUUUGCUGAGUGAGCCGUAGUAAUUUUUUCAAAAAUUGAUUCAAUAUAUCAAUUAAUUUACAUGCCUUGAGAUGGGUUAUCAUCUGUUUUGGUCAAAAAUUAAAUGUCACCUUUGUUUUGAGUUUUUGGAUAGUACAAAUAAUAUUAAAAUUAGGGUUUACCAUACUUCAAUCUACCGUAACUUUGAUACCACUCUGAUGGAUCCAAAAUAAUAAUCAAACAUAAAUCCACAGGAACAAUCACAAAAAAUUUGAUAUAUGAGGCAAAGGAAAUUUCUUGACUAAUCAUACGAGGCUACGGCUACUGUACAAUACAAGAAAAAGGAAACAACGAGGCUACUGAUUCUUCAAACGAAAACGGCGGCAACAAUACUAAUCCCUUACUGGCUCACUUCUAUUAUUAUUACUAACAGUCUAACAUUAUGGGCCAAAUCCAAUGUAGCUAACUUUACUAAUUUACAAUGCAACGUAUUGUACUAACCAAUAUAUUAAUGACACAUGACCUCAACUAACAUAUAACCAAAUAAACAAAUUACUAAACUUGGUUUAUAUUGUCCUACAAAAACUCUAUGUAAAUAAAAGAGUUGUAAGUUGGGUCCAUCACUUAAAUGUGUUAGACAACCAAACAGUGAAUUAAUUGCUUCGUCUUUUAUGUCUUAGUUCAAUAAGGAUGGGCUUCUGCUAAAAUUGCAGCCACUUCUCUUUCUAUCUUAACUUCUCUCUAUUUUUUCACCUCUUCUCAAAAAACCUUCUUCGGGAGAAAGUCCAAUCCAUGGAUUUUUUUUUUGUUUUUCUAAUAAAGUCUAAUAAAGUUUUUCCUAAAUUUUCUUAGUAAAAAUUUUUCAUUUCUCCUAAAAAUUUUUAGUGAGAAUUUUCGAUUCUUCUAAGGAUUCCUAUGAAGAUUUUUGUAUUUUUUCAUUUUCUAGGGAUUCCUUAUUUCAAUUUCCUUUGAGACCACAUGAUAGUGGUGCAACUUAAUCUUUCCCAACAUUAGUAUCUUGGCAAAAAAAGGGUGCGUAAUUCAAUUCAAUUGGCCAUGAAAGCUGAAAAAUGGAAAUGUGCAAUCACCCUUAAAGAAUACGCAACUGACCUUAUUAGAAAAGGUAAAAGAAAUAAACAAUUAAUUCAUCAUUCCUUCAAAAUAAAAAUCAUAAGUAUUUCAUCUCAGGAAUACUUUACUACCAAAAUUUGUAGGCAAAACUGCACUCGGCUUUAAGGAAUAAUAUAUAUUUCGGGAACGAGCAAUUGAACUGCACCCUUGUAUGUAAGGAUUUGCUUGUACGCCUUGUGGUUUGCAAAUAUCAAUUGCACCAUAAGAAAAAUAUCUUGCGAUUAAUAGACAGAGCUCCCGUCCGGCUGCAGGGAAAAUUUUUCGGGGUGGUGCUGCCCGAGUUAGGAGUACCUUCGCCGGUGGCAAAAGGGGCGGAAGACGAAGGACUUGGAUGCAAACUAAUUCGCUUUCUAUCACUUGUUUUUUGAUUGAUUAUUUUAACUGAUUAUAGAUUCUAAUUUUGGAUAAUUAGUUUUUGUAAUAUUUUCGAUUACUUUUGUCUUCUGAUCAUGAAUUUUCUAAUCACUAAAAAAGUUAAAAUUCAUAAUCACCCAAAAGAGUAGUUUUUGCUUAUCAUUAAUUUCUGUAAUCAGAUUUUGUAAAGUCUAAAAUAAUCAAGAAUAGUGCCAUAGAAACUCAAUUAUUCAACUUCAAUUUGUAAAGAAAACCGUGACAUACAAACUAAUGAAAAGGGCAAGUAGUACUUCUUCUUAAUUUCUGCAUGUUCUAUGCUUUAAGUUAAAUUGAAUUACAAGGGUAAUAAAUAUCCAAAAUAAGAAAAAGAUGGACAUCACUAUAUUGAUCUCUUCUUCUUCUAUAACGAGUAGUUUCUUAGUUUUCAAAGCUACUUUAACUGAACGUAAUGGACCAUUACUGGAGAAACUAAUGAAUGAACGUGACCUGUGUACCACUUGGCAUAGUAAAUCAAUUAAAGAGAGAUUUUUUUUCUUUUCUUUUCUUUUUUAUUGGUAUGAAUAUUUUCUGAACUCAUUACGAAGCACAGUUUUGGCAGUAAAUAUGCUGCCAUGCAACCAGAUAUGCAUAUUAAAAUUCCUUCACCAAUAACAAAAUACUUGUCCUGAACCAACAUAAACAGUUUGCAAACUUGCACACUGAAAACUCAAAUGGAUGCCAAUAUACUCAAUAUUCUUGCAUACUUUUCCAUUUUCAGGACAAAGUAUUUAUCAAAGAGAAAAAUUUAUGCAAAUUUAAUCCAAAUGAAAGGGAAUCAGCAAAGUAAAUUAGCAAGAAGCCUCAAAGAGGGAGACUCAAACCUACCUAACUCCAAAUUAUGACCAAAGUGAAUCGUAUGGUCAAUAAAAUGUACCCAUGCAGAGAUUUCAUCCAGUUGCCAACGUCAAUUGGAAUUUAUGACCAAACUUCACAAAGUUUAAGUUUGGACCAAAGGAGAAGUUUCAUAUUUUAGAUAAAGCUAUCUCCUCUUCUAGGUUGAGAAUAUAAACCCCUAAACUUGAUUUAUAUCACCACUAGGUGUACUUAUGACGGACCAAACUACAAGAGCUCUCGUCAAAACACAUUUUUAUCCAUUAUAGAUAGAAAAAUGUGAACGCCAAAUAUUAUCAUGAAUAAUAAUUUAGUAAAAUAAGUAGUUUGAGAGCUUCUGCAUCUUACGAAUUUACUAAAUUACAAUCAACACAUGCACAAUCUCUUCAUAUAUUUAAUUUUCUACAAACACUUGAAAUGUAGGUCUAUACAAUUUACCAUUAUUUCAUAAACAAGGAUUUUAAAUACAAUACUAUAAUAAUACACUCCAAAACACCUAACCAUCUACAUUAAAAGUUUUUCACACUAUCAUAAAAGUUUUGAAAGAUAUCCUCAAAACAUCUAAUCCAUACGUAUAUUUCCAUUGCAUGGGCUCAUUUUUUUCUGGGCUUAACUAGGGUUGGAUCACUCUGAGUCCAACUUUAUUAAUAGGGAAUCAGGUCCAGUCCGCUUUUAUUGGCCACUUUAUUUUGGUGGGAGUGGGGGACGGCAACGGGUAUAAUAAUUACAUGGUCUUUCUGGUGGGGGCCGCAAACAAUAGGCGUAUCGUAUUUUGUUGCAAAUUGGAUGCCUUUGUAAUGGCCCAUAACCUAUGGAUCCACCGCCUCCAUCUUUAGGAGCAGAGUUUGUAGGAGAACUUC
RNAcentral lists this long non-coding RNA (19199 nucleotides) under Coffea arabica (coffee). RNAcentral describes it as "long non-coding RNA (CARA_LNC002550)". Lineage: Eukaryota; Viridiplantae; Streptophyta; Magnoliopsida; Gentianales; Rubiaceae. The record is from RNAcentral.